GGAGGUGAGGGCCAUCUGCCUGCGACAUCGUCACCCCAUUGAUCGCCAGGGUUGAUUCAACUGAUCUGGCUGGCUAGGCGGGUGUCCCCUCCUCCCCUCACCACUCCAUGUGCGUCCCUCCUGAGGCUGCACACUUGGUUGAAGAGGACGACCUUCCCCAUAGAAGGAGGAUCGUCCUUCGGUCAAGGGUAUACGAGUAGCUGUGCUCUCCUGCUGGAACCUCCAAACAAGUCUAAGGAAAGGCUUCUCAGAGAAAAGGAAAGGAGUUAUCCAGAUGAAAAAGUAAAGAAGAACAUUCU
Molecule: small nuclear RNA, 299 nt
Filed under: Echinops telfairi (small Madagascar hedgehog)
Lineage: Eukaryota; Metazoa; Chordata; Mammalia; Afrosoricida; Tenrecidae
Description: 7SK RNA (ENSETEG00000021498.1)
Rfam family: 7SK RNA
About the family: 7SK was discovered as an abundant small nuclear RNA in the mid-70s but a possible function has only recently been suggested.
Source: RNAcentral